RNAcentral lists this transfer RNA (65 nucleotides) under Sininocellia chikun. Its description in RNAcentral is "tRNA-Leu". The record is from RNAcentral. Lineage: Eukaryota; Metazoa; Arthropoda; Insecta; Raphidioptera; Inocelliidae.
UCUAAAGUGGCAGAUUAGUGCAAUGAAUUUAAGCUUCAUAUAUAAAGAAUAUUCUUUUUUUAGAA